RNAcentral lists this unclassified non-coding RNA (17 nucleotides) under Mus musculus (house mouse). Its description in RNAcentral is "oocyte_clustered_small_RNA11032". Lineage: Eukaryota; Metazoa; Chordata; Mammalia; Rodentia; Muridae. The record is from RNAcentral.
AUGGCCAGCCGGACGAG